Molecule: long non-coding RNA, 118 nt
Organism: Poecilia latipinna (sailfin molly)
Lineage: Eukaryota; Metazoa; Chordata; Actinopteri; Cyprinodontiformes; Poeciliidae
Exons: 3
Source: RefSeq, a predicted model, not a curated record
AAAUUUGUGAUUUUGUGUCUCACAGAAUCAGUAAUCUUUAUCUCUGAAACACACACACAGCACAGUGGAUUUCUGACUCCAAAACUCUUUUUAACUCCCCCUCACAGGCACAAAUAUC